RNAcentral lists this long non-coding RNA (1340 nucleotides) under Callithrix jacchus (white-tufted-ear marmoset). RNAcentral's name for it is "lncRNA (ENSCJAG00000048971.3)". Lineage: Eukaryota; Metazoa; Chordata; Mammalia; Primates; Cebidae. The record is from RNAcentral.
UCCAGCAUGACCCCUCGUUCACAAUCAAACUGCCUUUAACAUACAGGAGCACCAAAAGGCACAGGAGUGGACGCCAGCAGACUCAUUAGCACCUCCCCAGCAUCACCUCGGUCCACUUAACUGAAGAACAGCUGUUGAAGACGGCAAGAGCCAAAACAAUACCCAGUUCUCAACCAAAUAAGAUAUCUCUGAAAAGAGGAAAAAUGGUUGUGAGCUGCCAUUGUCCCAUUUUUAGGAGAAACUAUAGAAGGAACAGCAAGCAGUUACACAGAAAUGGUUUCACUUUGUCGUCCAGGCUGAAGAACAGUGACGUGAACACAGCUCACUGCAGCCUUGAUGUCUGGGGCGCAAGCAAUCCUCUCACCUCAGCGUCCCAAGAAGCUGGGACUACAGGCAUGUACCACUGCACCUGACUAAUUUUCAUAUUUUUUUGUAAAGAUAGGUUUCAUCAUGUUGCUCAGGUUGGUCCUGAACUCCUGAGCUUGAGUGAUCCACCCACCUCAGUCUCCCAAAGUGUUGGAAUUACGGGUGUCAGCCACCAAACCCAGCCCAGCCUGUUUUUUCCUAAAUGACCAGCCAAUUAACCCAACACCAUCUAUUGUGUAAGCAAUAUUUUACCCUGUGGACUUAAAAUGACAUCUUUAACAUGGAUUUAUUUCUGGGCUAUUUCUGCUUAAGUACCAAAUGUUUUUUAAUUCCUCUAUCUUUAUAAUAAAUUUUUGAUAAUAAGAAAUGCAAUGAUAUUUUAACAAGAUUUAGACCAGCCUGGCCAACAUGGUAAAACCCCUUGUCUACUAAAAAUACAAAAAUUAGCUGGGCGUGGUGAUGGGUGUGUGUAUUCCCAGCUACUCAGGAGGCAGAGGCAGGAGAAUUGCUUGAACCCUGGAGGCGGAGGUUGCAGUGAACUGAGAUCAUGCCAUUGCACUCCAGUCUGGGUGACAGAGCAAGUCUCUGUCACAAAAACAAAACAAAAAAUGAUUUAGUUGAUCACAGUGUGGAGGGAGUUGGGGAAGACACUGGAGACAAGGUAAUGAGUGAGAAGGCAGUUGAGUAACCCAGGCACGGCAGGAUAAAUGCUUCAAGGAAAAAGGACCUACCUUAUCAGCAGAAUUCCCUGACCUGUUGGAGUCUGGGGUCAAGAAGAACAAAGGAUGGGCCAGAUUCAAAGAUUAUCAUAAGAAGGAACUGAGCUUUUAUUCCUAUUGCAUUAAACUGAACUGAAUCAGUCUAAAGGUACAGUUUUGGGUACUGGGAGAAAGAUAUUAUCAUCAAACAGUCACAGCUUUGUAUAUCUUCACUUGGGAAUUUUGUCAAAUUUCAAAUCAAGUCAUAUUUAUUGG